Molecule: ribosomal RNA, 253 nt
Filed under: uncultured bacterium
Lineage: Bacteria
Description: partial 16S ribosomal RNA
Rfam family: Bacterial small subunit ribosomal RNA
Source: RNAcentral
UACGGAGGAUGCAAGCGUUAUCCGGAAUGAUUGGGCGUAAAGCGUCCGCAGGUGGCAAUGUAAGUCUGCUGUCAAAGCGUCUGGCUCAACCAGAUAAAGGCAGUGGAAACUACAUAGCUAGAGUAAGGUAGGGGUAGAGGGAAUUCCUGGUGUAGCGGUGAAAUGCGUAGAGAUCAGGAAGAACACCGGUGGCGAAAGCGCUCUGCUGGACCUUAACUGACACUGAGGGACGAAAGCUAGGGGAGCGAAUAGG